GACGAACGCUGGCGGCGUGCUUAACACAUGCAAGUCGUACGGUAAGGCCCUUUCGGGGGUACACGAGUGGCGGACGGGUGAGUAACACGUGAGUAACCUGCCCACAACUUUGGGAUAACGCUAGGAAACUGGUGCUAAUACUGGAUAUGUGCUCCUGCUGCAUGGUGGGGGUUGGAAAGCUCCGGCGGUUGUGGAUGGACUCGCGGCCUAUCAGCUUGUUGGUGGGGUAGUGGCCUACCAAGGCGGCGACGGGUAGCCGGCCUGAGAGGGUGACCGGCCACAUUGGGACUGAGAUACGGCCCAGACUCCUACGGGAGGCAGCAGUGGGGAAUAUUGCACAAUGGGCGGAAGCCUGAUGCAGCAACGCCGCGUGCGGGAUGACGGCCUUCGGGUUGUAAACCGCUUUCGCCUGUGACGAAGCGUGAGUGACGGUAAUGGGUAAAGAAGCACCGGCUAACUACGUG
This 464-nucleotide ribosomal RNA is filed under the name uncultured bacterium. RNAcentral's name for it is "partial 16S ribosomal RNA". It matches the Rfam family "Bacterial small subunit ribosomal RNA", at positions 28 to 507 of the family's 1533-position model. The record is from RNAcentral.